This is a long non-coding RNA of Oncorhynchus mykiss (rainbow trout), 2233 nucleotides long. The record is from Ensembl. Lineage: Eukaryota; Metazoa; Chordata; Actinopteri; Salmoniformes; Salmonidae.
AUGUCUUGGGAGGAGAUCGACAGGUGGGCGGCCGACCCAGGGAGAGUGCCGGAGCCCGCCUGGGAUUCGAUGGAGCAGUGCACGGAAGGAUAUAGGAGAAUGGAGUUUGCGAAGCAAGCAAGGCGGCGUGGACGGAGGCCCCAUAGUCAGCCCCAAAAAUUUCUUGGGGGGGGGCUCAGGGAGAGUGUGGCAGAGUCAGGAGCCAGACCUGAGCCAACUCUCCCUGGUUAUCGUGAGGAGCCAAGGAGGAGACCAGAACCAGAGCCGGUGUUGGAGGUGAGUGAAACAGAGACUGUGAAGGAGUUAAUGGGGAAAUUGGAGGAGAGAGAAAUGAGGGAGUUGCUGUGUUGGUGCAUUUUGCAUAGAAUUCGCCUGACGGAACGUGUCAGGGAUUUGAUGGCACCUGGGUUAGCGCUCCAUACUCGUCCUGAGGUCCGUUUUAGUCGGCUGGUGAAGUUGGUUCCAGUCUCACGCAUCAGGCCUCCUGUGCCCAUCCCUAGCCUUGCACGUCCUGUGCCAGCACUAUGCAUCAGGCCUACAGUGCGCCUCGCCUGUUCAGCGCAGCCAGAGCCUCUCUCAUCUCAUGCGCUAUCGGAGUAUCCCGCCUGUUCAGCGCAGCUAGAGCCUCUUUUCUCUCCUGCGCUAUCGGAGUCUCCUGCCUGUUCAGCGCAGCCAGAGCUUUUCUCCUCUCCUGCGCUGCCGGAGUCUCCCGCCUGUUCAGCGCAGCCAGAGCCUCUCUUCUCUACUGCGCUAUCGGAGUCUCCCGACUGUUCAGCGCAGCCAGAGCCUUUCUACUCUCUUGCGCUGCCGGAGUCUCCCGCCUGUUCAGCGCAGCCGGAGCCUCUCUCCUCUCCUGCGCUGUCGGAGUCUCCCGCCUGUUCAGCGCAGCCAGAACUGCCAGUCUGCAUGAAGCAGCCCGAGCUGCCAGUCUGCAAUGAGCUGCCAGUCUGCAAGGAGCUGCCAGUCUGCAAGGAGCUGUCAGUCUGCAUGGAGCAGCCUGAGAUGUCAGUCUGCAUGGAGCAGCCUGAGCUGUCCGUCUGCAUGAAGCAGCCCGAGCUGUCAGUUUGCAAGGAGCAGCCAGAGCUGUCAGUCUACAUGAAGCAGCCAGAGCUGCCAGUCUGCAAGGAGCUGCCAGUCUGCAAGGAGCUGCCAGUCUGCAAGGAGCUGCCAGUCUGCAAGGAGCUGCCAGUCUGCAAGGAGCUGCCAGCCUGCAAGGAGCUGUCAGUCUGCAUGGAGCUGCCAGUCUCCAAGGAGCCGCCAGAGCUGCCUGUCUGCAGGAUGCUGCUAAAGCUGCCAGUCUGCAAGGAGCCGCCAGAGCUGCCAGUUUGCAAGGAGCCGCCAGAGCUGCCAGUUAGCAUGGAGCAGCCAGGGCCGCCAGUCAGCAUGGAGCAGCCAGUCAGCAUGGAGCAGCCAGAGCUGCCAGUCGGCAUGGAGCUGCCAGUCGGCAUGGAGCUGCCAGUCUGCAAGGAGCUGCCAGUCUGCAAGGAGCUGCCAGUCUGCAAGGAGCUGCCAGUCUGCAAGGAGCUGCCAGCCUGCAAGGAGCUGCCAGCCUGCAAGGAGCUGUCAGUCUGCAUGGAGCUGCCAGUCUCCAAGGAGCCGCCAGAGCUGCCUGUCUGCAGGAUGCCGCUAAAGCUGCCAGUCUGCAAGGAGCCGCCAGAGCUGCCAGUUUGCAAGGAGCCGCCAGAGUUGCCAGUCAGCAUGGAGCAGCCAGUCAGCAUGGAGCAGCCAGAGCUGCCAGUCGGCAUGGAGCUGCCAGUCGGCAUGGAGCUGCCAGUCAGUAUGGAGCAGCCAGAGCCGCCAGUCAGCAUGGAGCAGCCAGUCAGCAUGGAGCAGCCAGAGCUGCCAGUCGGCAUGGAGCUGCCAGUCAGCAUGGAGCAGCCAGAUCUGCCGGUCGACCAGACUCUCCCAGAUCUGCCGGUCGACCAGACUCUCCCAGAUCUGCCGGUCGACCAGACUCUCCCAGAUCUGCCGGUCGACCAGACUCUUCCAGAGCUGCCAGUCGACCAGACUCUUCCAGAUCUGCCAGUCGACCAGACUCUUCCAGAUCUGCCCGUCGUCCAGACUCUUCCAGAUCUGCCCGUCGUCCAGACUCUUCCAGAUCUGCCAGUCGUCCAGACUCUUCCAGAUCUGCCAAUCGUCCAGACUCUUCCAGAUCUGCCAGUCGACCAGACUCUUCCAGAUCUGCCAGUCGACCAGACUCUUCCAGAUCUGCCCGUCGUCCAGACUCUUCCAG